This is a long non-coding RNA of Triticum dicoccoides, 2713 nucleotides long. RefSeq lists it as uncharacterized. Lineage: Eukaryota; Viridiplantae; Streptophyta; Magnoliopsida; Poales; Poaceae. The transcript is spliced from 9 exons. The record is from RefSeq and is a predicted model, not a curated record.
CCCAUCUGCUGCUCCGCCCGUCCCGCUCGCCCCCUUCCCAGCCGCUCACCCCGCCCGUCCCGCUCGCCGUGGCCGAUGACCACACCACCAGAGACCGCGGAUCUUGGCGCAGGCCCGUGCUCCCGAGCGGUGGUCCCUCCUCGUCGCCACCCCUCUCCUCUGCAUCAUGUCGGAUCCGAGGCAUGCGGGCGCGGAGGCGAGCUUCUCCAGCGGUGCCCGCCUCCCUCUCGUCUCCUCAAUCCUCUUCAUAUCGUCCCGCGUUCUCGAUCUACGCCGCCACGUGCUGUGGUUCUGGAUUGGGCGCAGGCUGCCGCCAUUGGAGAGCAGCGGCGAUGAGGUCUUCAGCUCGGGUGCGAGGAGCAGGGGGGUGAGGUGGACGGUGUUGUGGGGAAGAAGUGAUUGAUGCGGCCGGCAGCGAGCGCCGGUGAGCGACGAGGAGGCCACCAUCUCUCCUCAUAUCCUCCUAGAUGCUCGAUUGGAGCGGGGGACAGAUGCCGCCACAGCCCACUGACCACCGGGGACGCCUCUGCAUUGUCGUCGGCUGGACGAGGAAAACAGCAAGACGCUGGCCUAUGCAUCGGACGUGGGCCGCUUCAGCUUUAGGGGAGAUUUGACGAUGGCGCAAGGUCCCCCACUUCCUUGUUGUGGCGCUGCAGCGUCAUGGGCCCUUCUGAAGGGAGAGGGAGGCACAUCAGAGGGUGGUAGCAGGUGCGUCACUUGAUAACUAGCCUUGCUAAAACAACCAGUGGUUGUCGUGGCCUGAAGCAGCAAGUAUUGUGGAGAUUGAUGGACUAGGUGCUUGCAGCCGCAGUCCAUCGUGCUCUCGGUUGCUGACCUUGAGGUCCAGCCGCAGCUGCCCAUCGCUUAGACCUGGAUUGUAGGAUUGCAUGAGUUGGGGCUUGCGAUUGCCCAUUGUGGUGCACAGGUAGAUUGUAGGAUGUACUUGCCGAAAUGAGCAUGGUCGCCAUGCUAAUUGUUCAAAUAUUCUAUGGCUAUUUCAGUGCUUAUCUCAGUUACUUGAUUUCUUUUGCAGUACUGCCAGGGGUGGCUGUUUGUUUACUGCAGGGGCUGUUGAUCUGCUGCCCCAUUAUUUGAUUACAUGUUUGAUGCUCUCGAAAAAAUGCUACAAAGAAUCAUAAGAAACUUCUCGUGAUAGAUUUACAAUUAGGGAUAUUUCCAAAUGUUUACUUCUAAUUCAUUAGCACAUCCUCUGUUUUUUUUAAUUAAUUGUUGCCUCCUGUUGUCCGCAUCAAGCUAUGGUUCCCCUGUUUAGCAUUUACUUCUGUGUGAUCUGCUGUAUAAAUAUAACAUAACAUUCUGAAAUUGUUAGUUAUUCUUUCUAUAUAUGAGGAAGCAUGAAAGAACUGUGUGUUAGGGGUAAAUAAUCUUUUCUGCUAUUUGAUAAAACAGUUAGGCCGCUACCCUCUCAUAUAUUUUGAUUCUCUUUUGAAUAAAUUCCUAGCCUUGAAUAUCAUUUUUCUCCAUGGUUUUUAUGUUUUGCAUUGUACACUACAGGAUACUGAAUCAACAGUUACAUGAAAGUUUGAUGCCGUGUUAUAUACAAUAGGAGUGGAAGCUCAAAGAAUUAGCAUUAGUUUUGUGAGAAGAGGUCAAAAUUAUAUGGCCCUUCAGAUGAUGUUUGCGGGUUGUUAAGCUUUUUCUCGGAAGCUUUAGGAGUUGGUGUUCUGAUUACUGAACUUUGCUUGUCAGCCUUUAGUUUCCUGAUUAUCUUUCUUCAACCCCUGUCAAGAUGAAUACAUAAAUUGAUGUUGAUGAUUACUCGUGCAUUUGCUUCCUAAGUCAGCCAAGGAUUAAGAAUAUGAGCAUCCGGAGUAUAUCAUUCGCGGACCACCCCUUGCUAUCCAAUACUGUGGAGAGCUUGAAAUGUACUGUCACUGGGGCAACGAAGUGAAGCUCUAUCAACACCAUUUGAACAAGUUGUAUGCAAUGUUCCGCCGCAAAAAACCAGAUAUCAAAUACUAUGUCUGCCAUCAACAAAACAUUUGCAAAGCCAGGCCAACGGAUGUAUUUUCAGGUCCACUACACCAAAGAAAAGCUGAAAGAGUACAUCAAACCAGAUGAUGACACACUCAAGGUCAAGCUCGCAAACAGCAGUCUGCACACCAGUUGUCGUAUCAUGCUGGGAACAGACAAGAGAGCCACAAUAACCAGAAAUUGGUCAGAGUUCCGCCAUCGUGCAAACAUCCAUGAAGGACGUAUCUGCGCCUUUUGUUUCAAGGUUACCGCGGAGCACCGCCUGACUCUCAUCGUCCAUGUCCUCUAGACGGACCAUCUACAUCAACCCAUGCCUUUUGCAUGCAUAGCCUGUCGUCUUAAGAAGAUCUAAUUUUCCUCUAUGAUAAGAUGAACCUUACCUGUGGUUGCCGAUGAUGCCAUACGUUGCUUUUGUACAUCUGCCGGCGAUAUUAUAACCUAUGUAACCUCAGUUGUUAUUACUCAUGGGCAGCACAUCCAUCUAUUGAUCUUAUGUACUAAUGGAGUCUGGAUGAUGAUGUUGAAGGGAUUUCUGUUAUGAACAAUGAAAACAUUCAACCCCAGCCACUAUGAAAAAUUGCAGCGCCGAUGGUCCACCAAGCAUAAAGCCUAUGAGAUGAAUCUCCCCCUUUCUACCUUCCUAAUAGCAUUGUAAAUAUUCUAUCAUAAGCUUCUUAAUUAGAACGCUAUGUAUCAUGAAUGAUCCAUGUGUACCAAU